Colias croceus (clouded yellow) is the source of this 2290-nucleotide long non-coding RNA. RefSeq lists it as uncharacterized. The transcript has 4 exons. NCBI's taxonomy places the organism in Eukaryota, Metazoa, Arthropoda, Insecta, Lepidoptera, Pieridae. The record is from RefSeq and is a predicted model, not a curated record.
UGCAGCGUUAAACGGAUUUUGUUUUUCUAGCAAUUUUGAUGACGUCACUCGUAAUAGUUCACUCAAUUAUUGGGACCGUGCGAUCUAUUUGACAAUUUGACAGUUAUCGGUUAAUAAUAGAACUUCGUAACUGCGAAUUACAUCGGCUUGUUCGAAGAAAAGGCUUCAAACCUUUUGAUUUAAGAAGAAUCGUGUAAAUAGUAAACAAGUGCGUAAUCAUCACGAGUCCCUAUGAGAUAUGGGGGCAUCAUAUGAACAAUUUGAAAAUACAAUAUAGGUAACCUACAGAUUUAUCUGUGUAAGAUAAAAGUAAUAUUCUACAAUCAAUUCCGAGCACUAGGAAUAAGAUUACCCAGAGUAACCACAUGGAUGCAUUGAUAGUAUUCAAGAAGCCAUGGUGCCAGCGCAACAUGAAUAAUAUAUUUUUUUCAAUAGGAAGCAAUAUCAUACUUUUAAUGUUUAAGUGCAAUAAAAAACAUUUAUAAAUCCAAAAUCUUUAUUUAGUCCUUUUUAUUUAUUCAUUGACAAAUAAUUUGCUCCUUUACUUCUCUUGAUAUCAUUUAUAUAUAAAAAAAGUGAUAAAACAUGGAAGUAUUCGAAAUUAGAUUCAAUUCUAUUUAGCUUAAAUAUUUAUUAAAAACAAUUAGGUAGAUAUAUAACUCAAAUCCAAAUUUGUAAGUAAAUAGCAUAUUAAAAACACCCUUGAUUAAAAAAAAUUAAAUUUUUAUUUAUAAUACCAGCCUUUAAAACUUAAAAUGCAAUAAACAAAAACUUUGUAUUUACAUCACAAUGAAUAAUUCCUACACUAAUAGUUUAAUGGUAUUUAGGUAUAUUUUUAUUUUAAAUUUAAAUCAAUUAUUGUAUUUGCAUAAUAAAGAGUUGAUAAAUCAUUUAAAAACUUGCAGUACUUAUGUACCUAUACUUUUACAUUUACAUUUUCAGAUGUAUGAUACAAAUAUGAAUAUUUUAAGUGUCAGACAUGGUGGCGCCUCCCCCAACUUGAAGUUCUCACUACCACAUGAACAUCUCCCAAGCCGGUACUUCCUUGUUCAAUGUUUGGGCAAGCCGGCAAUCAACACAACUGUGAAAGAUAAAUUGGAUUUAAACUGAUUAUUUGUUGCUUUAAAAUUUAAUAAGUACCUUUAAUAUGUUUACUUUUAUUAUUAAAGGGCUUGUCAUGGUGUAUGUAAACAUCUAAAAAGAAGUUUUUUAAACAAUGUCGGUAUGGUUUGUUAGAUACCUUAUUUGUUAACUUCAAUUAACAAUAAUCAAAACAGACGAAAUCAUGCAAAAACCAAUACUUUAUUCGUAAAAAUAUAUCUGUGUUAUCAUAAAUCGUCCAAUGUUUUAGAUACCUAUAAUAUAUUUAUUACUCGUAUAUUAUCUUACCUUGCUAUUUCAAUUGCUCUUUCAUGCCUCUUUCAUGCAUUCUUUAAUGCAUAUUACUUAUCUUUCGCAAUUUUUCAAUUUGAUUUAUCCAAAUUUUAGAUAUUAUUACGAGGACACCGCCAUUUUUAUAUUAACAACCUAAUAUGGGUACGUUUUGUUGAGUUCACAAAAUAAUCUUACUUUAUUUUGGUACCGGGAGCCUUCAAAACAUGAUUACUAUACGAUUGCCUACAAUGUCCAAUGAGCGAAUGAAUUCCGAAGUUUUGUCUAUUUUUUUAAGAUUAAUGGCUUGGCUACGAGGCUUUUAGGCCAAGUCGUAAUGAUUUGUAUCGAACAUUAAACGUCAAAAAUCAAAAUGUCAUGUCACUGACCUCAUAAUUCAUAUCAUUAUCUAAAAUUUCAGAUAAACUUAAACUUAAAUAAUUAUGUGAAUCUCAUCUCUGGAUAAAUGAGAAAGUGCGAAAAAGCAAUAUUGAAAUAGCAAGCAGAACAUUGUGCAGAGUGCGCGAAGCUCCCUGACCCCGAAGUUACAAAGACAAAGAUAGGUACAUAAAUAACUCCCAACGAGGUAAAAGUUAUGAUGAGACGAAGUUGAUAGAAUUCUCUGCUGAAAGUUUAAGUGCAAAUGAUUUGGGAGUUCACAAAAACUAGAGCAGCUGGUCAAAAUUGUGUUGAUUGCCGGCUUGCCCAAACAUUGAACAAGGAAGUACCGGCUUGGGAGAUGUUCAUGUGGUAGUGAGAACUUCAAGUUGGGGGAGGCGCCACCAUGUCUACACUUAAAAUAUUCAUAUUUGUAUCAUACAUCUGAAAAUGUAAAAAUUUAAUUGUACCUUAAUAUAGUACAUUGUUUUCAUUUUAAGUUUAAUAAAAAUGAAAUUAAAAGUAUACAUAAGUACUGCAA